RNAcentral lists this ribosomal RNA (427 nucleotides) under uncultured bacterium. Its description in RNAcentral is "bacterial SSU rRNA". It matches the Rfam family "Bacterial small subunit ribosomal RNA", at positions 917 to 1345 of the family's 1533-position model. The record is from RNAcentral.
GGGCCCGCACAAGCGGUGGAGCAUGUGGUUUAAUUCGAUGAUACGCGAGGAACCUUACCAGGGCUUAAAUGUAGUGGGACAGGUCUAGAGAUAGACCCUUCUUCGGACUCAUUACAAGGUGCUGCAUGGUUGUCGUCAGCUCGUGCCGUGAGGUGUCAGGUUAAGUCCUAUAACGAGCGCAACCCCUAUCGUUAGUUGCCAGCGGGUCAUGCCGGGAACUCUAGCGAAACUGCCGGUGCAAACCGUGAGGAAGGUGGGGAUGACGUCAAAUCAUCACGGCCCUUACGUCCUGGGCUACACACGUGCUACAAUGGCCGGUACAGAGAGCAGCCACUACGCGAGUAGGAGCGAAUCUAUAAAAACCGGUCUCAGUUCGGAUCGCAGUCUGCAACUCGACUGCGUGAAAGCUGGAAUCGCUAGUAAUCGC